RNAcentral lists this ribosomal RNA (433 nucleotides) under uncultured bacterium. RNAcentral's name for it is "partial 16S ribosomal RNA". It matches the Rfam family "Bacterial small subunit ribosomal RNA", at positions 39 to 507 of the family's 1533-position model. The record is from RNAcentral.
GGGGGGGGGGGGGGGGGGGCCGAGGGGAGGCGAGGCGGGCGGGCGUGUCGGGGUCAGCGGCGGACGGGGGGGUAGCGCGUGGGAAGAUGCCCUUCUCUACGGGAUAGUCCUGGGAAACUGGGGGUAAUGCCGUAUCCGCCCUUUGGGGGCACGAUUUAUCGGGGAAGGAUUAGCCCGCGUUGGGUUAGGUGGUUGGUGGGGUAAUGGCCUACCAAGCCGACGAUCCAUAGCUGGUUUGAGAGGAUGAUCAGCCCCACUGGGACUGAGACACGGCCCAGACUCCUACGGGAGGCAGCAGUGGGGAAUCUUAGACAAUGGGGGCAACCCUGAUCUAGCCAUGCCGCGUGAGUGAUGAAGGCCUUAGGGUUGUAAAGCUCUUUCAGCUGGGAAGAUAAUGACGGUACCAGCAGAAGAAGCCCCGGCUAACUCCGUG